UUGGCCAUGUUUUUGGUUGGAAUGUAGUGACUUGAUCACUAAACGCUGCCACAAAUAACCUGUCAGUUAUUUCAUCAAAAAUAAA
Candidatus Pelagibacter sp. RS40 is the source of this 85-nucleotide non-coding RNA. NCBI's taxonomy places the organism in Bacteria, Pseudomonadati, Pseudomonadota, Alphaproteobacteria, Candidatus Pelagibacterales, Candidatus Pelagibacteraceae. The record is from Rfam.